CAGCAAUGGUAGGAGGCAUCCAGUUCAGCCACUCAGGGUGCCCAUACAAAGGAAGUAACAGCAAUAAGUGCCCACCUUACACUUCUUGAAUUACCUGGGUCAUGCUCCAGGGACAAAGCAAUAAGUGGAAGAGCUUACUCCAUAGGUGUAUUUUGCCUCUGCCAUAUGCUGUAUUGGAAAGCAACAGUAAAAGCAAGCCCCCCGCAGAAACCACAGCAUUAAUUGCCUCUCAGCCACUCCAUGGCAGGAGGAGAGAGGGGCACAUGGUGAAACGAGCA
This is a long non-coding RNA of Alligator sinensis (Chinese alligator), 278 nucleotides long. RefSeq lists it as uncharacterized. The record is from RefSeq and is a predicted model, not a curated record. The transcript has 3 exons. Lineage: Eukaryota; Metazoa; Chordata; Crocodylia; Alligatoridae.